This 255-nucleotide ribosomal RNA is filed under the name uncultured bacterium. RNAcentral's name for it is "partial 16S ribosomal RNA". It matches the Rfam family "Bacterial small subunit ribosomal RNA", at positions 524 to 776 of the family's 1533-position model. The record is from RNAcentral.
UACGUAGGGGGCAAGCGUUGUCCGGAUUUAUUGGGCGUAAAGAGCGUGUAGGCGGUUUUACAGGUCCGCUGUGAAAACUCGAGGCUCAACCUCGAGCUGUCGGUGGAAACCGUAUGGCUAGAGUCCGGAAGAGGAGAGUGGAAUUCCCGGUGUAGCGGUGAAAUGCGCAGAUAUCGGGAAGAACACCCAUGGCGAAGGCAGCUCUCUGGGACGGUACUGACGCUGAGACGCGAAAAGCGUGGGGGAGCGAACAGG